AUGUUAUUUGUCUGCUUCUUUCACGGCUUUACCUGCAGGUUGGUGUUAAGAAAAAAAAUAGUGGAAUCUCUGUUCUCACCAAGAUCCGCCGCUCGUCUCCAAACCGACGAACACCACUCCGCCACUGCGAUCUCCGAUCCACCCCCACAGCUUCUGCUCGACAACAUCAACCGCACAUCACCAAACCAGCAACUGACGCUGAUAGCCGCGUCACUCACCCAGCCACUCGGAAUCAGAACUGUCGCCGCUCCCAAACUCGUUUAUCUCCGAUAA
Molecule: non-coding RNA, 273 nt
Organism: Vicia faba (fava bean)
Lineage: Eukaryota; Viridiplantae; Streptophyta; Magnoliopsida; Fabales; Fabaceae
Source: the annotation of a GenBank genome assembly